GGACCUGAGGGAAUGGUCUGAACUUAUGUUGUGGGAGGUUUAGGUUGGAUGUCGUGAAAAGGUUCUUCCCCCAGACAGCGGAUGGGCACUGGAAUGGGGUGCUGAUCAUAGCACCAAGCCUGACAGAGCUCAAGAAAUGUUUACACAGUACUCUCAGGGUCAUGCUAUGACUAUUGGGAAUGUCAUGUACAGAGCCAGGAGCUGGACUUGAUGAUCCUGAUGGGUCCCAUCCUACUCAGGUGAUUUUGUUAUAAUCAGCUGUAGUUGCUGCUACUCUGUGUAUUGCCAUAUUGGGCACUUUGAUCCAAACCAUAGAAAGUAGACUUCUGCUGUUAUUUCAUACACUUAGCUUUUCUGAUACUCAUGCAGAGCUGUGUUUUAAAGUUAAUGAGUCCUGUAGCUGCUGGAGGUCCAUUUCAGGAAAAGAUUACAGAUUUAUGGUAAAACUAAUUGGAAGAUAUUCACAAGUAAAUGAUCAUUUUUUAGUUAUUUGAGGGGCUGCACUGACUCCCACAUAAUUUUAGGUGCGUUUUGUUUCUUAGCAACAUGGAAUUGAGGGUAAUUUUUUGUAACUGAAAGUCAUCAUGUUCAUGUUCAGAUUUAUCAGUGCUUAAGAAAGGGUGCAGUGCACCAAGUAAGGAUGUCAUAGCCUCCUUGCAGAUCUUUACUUCAGAAAAUACCUCUGAUAUAAUGAAUUUCUUAGGACAGUUGCUGAAGGUGCUGUGUCACCAACAGUUUGUCUCUACUGUCCAUCCUGCUACAUUAACCUGAGCUUUGGGGGAAAAAGCCAGACUAAGGCUAAUGGGUCUGAAUGGGUGUCAGCUGAAGUUUUUACAUCUUGUUUUCAGUGUGUUUGCUUGUGGGAAGUGCUUUUUUCACCAUGGAGUGUUAGCUAUUUGUCUGUGCCAGCAUAAUGUUUGUAACUUGACUCUGCCAUGGUAUGCCUGGUUUUUUGCAUGCUUUGCUUGGACAAGGAAAUGAGUGGCUUUUUAAAUGUCACUGAGAUGGAAUAUAUGAUUUAGACAUUUUUCAUAAAGUAGAACACAUACGUGGUUUCCUAAAGCUAAGAUUUAGUCCAAAAAUAAAACUUGUGUUUGGCCAGGGCAUGCAGACUAGGGUAUCUGAAGUUCUAGGGCACAUAAACUGCUGGCUUCUAGCAGAUAGGCUUUGUACAGAAAGGCUCUGACAUGAGGUCUCAGAUCACAUUUUUGUGUGUGUACAUUUUUCUGCUCCCUAUAGCUCAUAUGAGCUAACUAGCAUUUUUUCAGUGGAAUUGAGUGGACUUGGUUUAAGGCUUUCAUAUGGGAAUUGUGUGGAUGAUCUGAUAGUGUUGGAAAGGGCAGGAAAUAAUAUUUUAACUCUCUCAAAGUUUACUCAGCUGUGCCAGAAUGUAGAUUUAGGAUUUAAGCUGAACAGAACAGAGAUCAAACCACAGUUUGAUAAGGACAUCUUAUUGUUUUGUAAAGGAGAGUUUUCAGAGUGUAACAGUAAAAUUUUAGCUCUGUUUUCUGAAUUCAUUAUCAUAGCUCCCACUGAAUGCAUAUUAGUCAAUGUUUCAUCAUCAGAAAUGGCUUGGAAUCAGAAAUUAAGCAAUCUGGGGGAAACAUGUUAUAAUAGAGAAUCAAACUGUAAUUUAAUCUGUGUUCUCUUUUUCUUCAAGGCUAUUAAAAUGCUUUUACUUCUUUCACCUGAUCUUAGUAUAGAUUUUGAAGGAAUGAAGGAUAACUGGUCUCUGUUGCAGAAAAUGCUGCAAUAUGCAUACUACAAAAGCCUAAAAAUCAUCCACUGUUGUCAUGAAGUCUCUGUCCACAGAGACCGCGAGAUUUUGGCAGAAGCAGGGUCAGUGAGCUGGCUCUAUUGGUCUUCAUAAGGCAGUUAGUAAGCUGACCCACCAAGUCCAACAGUAUGGUCAGCUGCAUAGAAAGCACAUGCAGCUGUAAAGGCUUUGCUUUAUUGGUGGUGGAAGGAUGUAGCAGGUAACAGGGGCUUGAUAACUGAGAGCAGAGGCUGGUUCUGUAGUUAGAGAAUGUGGUUUAGUGAUUCAGGAUUUGUGGUGCAGGAUUUACAGUGCUUGCACAUAUGCUGCCAACAGCUCAGACCAGUAAACAAGCCUGUGAACCAGAGAGAGAGCUGGAAAAACCUGUGUGCAGUGAAAAAAACCAGCAUUCAAAGGGAAUGGCAGAACUGCCUGCUCCACUGUGAUCUGUCACUCUGUUAGUAGCCUGAACUAAAGGGAACUAAUAGGAGGGAGUUCCCAAUCUACUUGAAAGUUCAGGAGGUCUGAAAUUGUCAUGGCAAACACUGUAAUUCACUUAAGUGGCUGUGGCUAAAUAACCACUCCCAUGGGGUUUUAGUCCAUCUGUCUCGUCUUCUGCCUUCCAUACAUCUUUUCUUAUGUUGUACUUUUCCCUGUCCUGUGUGACCAAAUAGGAUCAAAGAAGUUAAUUGGGAUGAAAAAUCCAUUUUUUAAAAUAUUAUUACAGUUUACAUGUGAGUCUCAUACAGCUCCCUGCAAGGGGAUGUAUAAAUGCCUGGGCCAGGUAUCACAGGGGAGAUGUCAAGAAGGUAGGAAUAUGAAAGGAGAGAAGAGGAACUGACUUUUCAGGAAAAAAUAUGUAGCCAUAAAUACCCCUGCAUGACUAUGAGUCUGUAAUGAGUCAAGACCUCAUAUUCCUGGAUAAUAGGGGAAUAUAAGCUGAAUUUCAGUGUAAUCUAAGUUAUUUAUUCUUUUUAAGUUUCUUUGCUGUAGUUCUAAGAGAUACUUAUUUCAGUUUACCUUAAAUUAUAAGUCCACAUUCCUAACUAGAAUGCCAUGGAGUCUGUAACCAAUAUAAGCUUGUAGUGAGUAAGUGUCAGGGUACUUUUGGUACCUUUGUGGUGAUCAGUGUACUUUUGCAGAAUUUCAGAGGAGAUGUAAUUGGAUUUAAGACCUGUAAAAGGCACUAGAAUGGUACUAGUUGAGCAGAAAGUCUUCUGUUAAAACAUAGACAUUUAUCCCCAUUGACAAAAUACAUGCUUCAAUUUGCAUUAUUGAACAGCACUUACCAUCAAAGAUUUGAGCACUCAUACCUGAUUCUGCUGCUGUUGAACAGCUGAUGCACUUCAUCAUAGAAAUGACUGCUGUUUAAGUCAACUUCUAAUUGUUUUGUGCAACCAAUUUGCCUGAAAGACGGGCUUUUCCAUUUGUAUAGAAGGGAACUUACAUAAAUGCAAUAGUUCUACCUAACAUGACCUAACAUGCUCAUGGGAAAUAUGAUGCUAUGGUUAAGGGCAUUAGUCUAAAAAUUACUACAAAUGUCAUGUAUUGUGCCCUAAUCUAAGCUCACGCCAUUCCUACUCAAUCAUGGCAGUGAUUGUGUUCCUUAGCCAAAUAAUAAUCUUCAAUUUUAUCCCUAUGAAAACCUCAGUAUUUUUGCAGAAUCAUAAAUUAUAUAUUUUAGGCUGAUCCUAUUUAGCAACUGUUUAUCUCUUGUUACAUAGCUGCACACUAUUUUUGUAGGAUAUUUUUAAAGCAUACAGUUUUAAAGACAGCUAUCUAUUGUAUCUUGCUUACCCUUUCCAGACUUUUACAUUAGAAAAGUAUCAAAGGUUAUUUACAUUUGCUCCAUUGGGCCUUAACACUUCGAUUAUGGAAACACUAUGCUGAUUCCUGUGAUUGUUUACAAUUGUGGGUUUUUGUUAAUCUUGCAAAAAUCACUUGCUCCUUUUUUUUUCCCAUGCCCAGACAAAGCAAAGGGUAGUUAGUGCAUGUCAAAUGAAUGGAUAAUGUUAUUUGUCUGGAGUGUUUCUGACUGUGAGAAGGCAUCUUUCUAAUCCACCUGAGUGUCUUGAGUCUGCAGUGUCGUUAUUGUAGUUACUAGCAUAAAGUAAUCCCAUCAGCCUUAGAGGAAAGGAUAUUGCCACUCAAACACUCAGUAUCAUUCCUGAAAGAAUGAGGAAUAGAGACUUGGAUUUUAAAAAGAAAAUAUAGAAAUUUAGAAGGCAGUUGACGCAGAUGGUGUUCAUAUUGUGUAUCACUGGAUAGACAUGUCUGUGUGUGUUUUUUGUUGGGGAAGUCAUAUUUCCUCACAGCCUGGUUUAAUAAAACAGGAUUUAUAUCAGCUACCUUCCCAGCGGACCUCUAAAGCUUGUGUAACUCUCCUUAGAAUAUCAUGAUGAAAGGUACAUGUCAAUAAACAGUGUGUCGUUUAACAUUCUAGUUAUCUGUGAUUUAGUAGAAAAUGCAUGGGGAAAUGAUAGAGCAUGCUUUUAACUCAGCAGUGACUCUGAUAUGAUGCUGGUCAUGAUGUAUUGUUUGUUGUGGGUUUUUUUAAUGGUAUCUUCAUGGGUCGGAUUGGUUUAUUAUUUCCAUAUGUUGAAAUACCUGAUUUUAGGCCAAGUUUUUGUCUCUCUCUGUGCACAAACUGGAAGACAGUGUUGGUCACUGUGGUGCUGAUGCCAUGGAUGAAGCUUAUGAGGUCUGGUUGUCCUGAGCUCAUCUCCACAUCUGUGGUUACCAUUCUCUGCAUGGCUCUUCCAGUAAGGGAAUUCACCCAGCUGCAUUAUAUGUGCCGUGGAAUAGUCCAUCAGGAAAAGAUGUUGGUUACUGUCCCAGAAAUACAUUGUUCUUAGAAAAAAAGAAGAGAAACUGAGUCACUGUGAGGAAUUACCUCUCUGAGCUGUCCAUACCAGAACAGUCAUUUAGUUCAGAGGGACGUGCAGGACACUGCAUUAAGCCAAAUGCCGUGAGUGAUAAUAUUAUUCUUUAUACCUUUAUGUAUAGUCAGAACCUGUCAUAAAAAAUUAGAAGGCAGUUUUUAUCACUUUUGACACAAGUGUAAGACAGGAGCAGUUCUGCUAGCAUUACUAUAACUAUAAACUACAAGGUAUCUCUUAUCAAAAGACAAAUUUAGUUUUAUAUGGAAUGAAGGUGGGUGCUACUGUACCACAGAUUUCAAGGAGUUAUGACUCAGUCUGAUCCAUACCACAUUGCCCACAGUGUUUCAGCUCUGAAGCAAUUCUCCCAAGACCAAUUGAGAUAAUGAAACUCAAAGCAUUUUUCAUGCUUGAAAGGUGUAAACUGUCAUAGAAGCAAAUGUGAUGACUGGCAAGGCAAGUUACAUUCUCAAUGCUUUAAAAAUGGUGAGAUUUUGUUUAUCAUUUGUUGUUGAAGCUAUCUGAUGAGUUUUCAUUUUGCUAAUGUUAUGCAAUUUUAAAGCAAUAGCUUUGAUUUUUAAGUUCCCCCAUACAAGGUUUUAAAUGACAGCAUGUGAUUUGUGAUGAAUGAAAAAACUAUUGUCAUGAUUGUUGAUUUAAACACAGUACAGGAAGUUGGAAGUCUAAAGGCAGUUGAAUUCUUGCAAGGGAUUAGUGAUUCAGGCCUAAGUAAAGGAGUGGCCACUACUACCUACUACCUACUACCAUUAACACCUGCCACUUUAUUACCUAAGCAGAAAAGAUGCUCAUAGAGCCCAACAACUUUUGCUAGAGUUCUCCCAUUAGCGUCAGCCUCGGAAGGAUCCAAACCUAAAAUGUCUGUGUUUGAUCUCUACUGAAAAUAAGGUGAGUAUGUUCCUUUGUCUCCUGUGAGUAAAGGGAAAGCUUCUUUGUUCCAAGGAGGUAGUAGUGAUGUUGUUUGUAAAUGUUUAGACAAAGCCUAAAUUCUUACUUCUUUGUUAAUUUCUGCUAGUUUUUGAGUAAAGACAAUGGUUAAUUAGAUAGCAAAUACCAUGAAAAACCAGGAUGCAAAAAAAGUAUUUCAAAGGGUUGAUUCAGUCUAGUAUUUUUGUGAAGGUCAGGUCUUAGAAUUUUCUAUUUUGCAUUCUUAAAUGUGAGAAUACAUGAGAAGCCAAGUCUUCAUCCCCUAGCAUUGCACAGCCUUGGCUUUUAUUGCAGGAUACUGAACAGAAGAUUUUCCAGACCCAAAAUGUAUAGAAAAUUCUUGCUUUUUCUGAUUCUGCCCUGGUGAGUUAAAUAAUUUCAUCUAGCGGCACAGUAGAGUAAUCUUUUGGAUGAGUCUUUGAGGUGAAUUUAAGCAGAAUUUGUGUGUGCUUCCACAGAGACUUUCAACAUCAACAUAAGACUUGAGAUGAUAAGUUGUUUGCUGGAUGUUUUGGCUGAAUUUUUUCUGAAUUAAUUGAUUUUAUGCAGAUUUCCUGAAUAUAUGGAAAGGAGUGGGAAACAUUAUUUAAUGUGACUAAUUAUGCUUGCGUAUUUAGUAGAAAACAGCUUAUAAAAUACAGUAUGUUCUGUUUUUCUUGAAGGAGCUUUAAUUGCAGUGAGUACUGUGCUUCAAAAUGUCUCUUCUGAAGAUGAGUUUUAUUUGGUGCUCAGCUUGUUGUUUUAAAUAAAACUCCUUGCAUGUUCUGAUGAAUAUUUGCAGGUGAUGGAGUCAAACCACAGAACACCACCAGGUAUAUUAAUGUGGGGAAGUUACCUGAGCUGUAAAAUUCUAGACUUAACCUGCUUAUUAUUGCAAACUGGGACAUUGGCUCCCUGCCAUCUCCAAGUGCGUCAGUCACAGGCUCAGUCUAUGCAGCACUACACACCUAUAUUUUUAAGGGCUUUUAAAUAAACAAAUACAGAUGGCUGCCACAGAGUAUUUGAGAGCUGGAAGUUUUAAACAACAAAUUGUAGGGCAAAGCUGACUAUUUUAAAGUAUCUUCAUUUCCUGCCAAUGACACUUAACUGUUCCGAGGCUACUUUUGUUUAAAAUCUUCUUUCCCUGACCUUUGUCAGGGAAAGAAUUUCUGGACUGGAAUAUUCAGUAUCUCUGUCUUUGAAUAUUACUCAAGGGACAUGUCAGAUAUGACAAUAAUCUCACUGGAGUUCAUUCCAAAAUGUCUUGGAUUUGCAGAUACAGAAAAAAAUGACUGUUUAUGAGGUCAUGAUUGGAAUAUUCCUCUAUCAUGCCAUCAGGAAAAGUUGAAGCAAGCACUUCUCAGCUGAUUCUGGUGACUGCUGCUUGACAGCAAAUUAGCUUGCAUGGUAGUCUUUCACAUAUUCAGAAGAGGAUUUUUUGAGGCACUUACAUCCUAUUGUGUGGACACAGAGUCUAGCACACCAGGUUUCUCUUUGCUAAGGGAAAUUAAACUUUCAGGGAGGCUUUCAAGAAGAAGAGCUAAUAAAUUGCUCUGAAGUUGAUACAAGCUUCUCUGGGAAAAAGAGCAGGGCCUGGAAAGCCUGUGAUAGAGAGCAGCUGUCUUCAGAUACUUGCAUUAAAUCUCAGACGUGCUUUCCUGCCAGCUACUUCAGUGCAGAAGAUUAGCAGACAUGUCCAUAGCACUCAAGCAAGUCUUUAAUAAAGAUAAGACUUUCCGCCCAAAACGCAAGUUUGAACCUGGAACCCAGAGGUUUGAACUUCACAAACGAGCGCAAGCAUCUCUCAACUCGGGCGUGGACUUGAAAGCAGCUGUGCAGUUGCCCAGUGGUGAAGACCAGAAUGACUGGGUGGCUGUUCACGUUGUUGACUUCUUCAAUAGGAUCAACCUCAUUUAUGGAACUAUCUGUGAGUUCUGCACGGAGAGGACCUGCCCGGUGAUGUCUGGAGGCCCCAAGUAUGAGUACCGGUGGCAGGAUGACUUGAGGUACAAGAAGCCCACAGCAUUGCCAGCACCCCAAUAUAUGAAUCUUCUCAUGGACUGGAUCGAGGUGCAAAUCAACAAUGAGGAUAUAUUUCCUACAAGUGUAGGUGUUCCCUUUCCAAAAAACUUUCUCCAGAUCUGCAAGAAGAUACUUUGUCGGCUUUUUCGGGUAUUUGUUCAUGUCUACAUCCAUCACUUCGACCGUAUCAUCCUUAUGGGUGCUGAGGCCCAUGUCAACACCUGUUACAAGCAUUUUUAUUAUUUUGUGACAGAGCUCAACCUCAUAGACCGCAAAGAACUAGAGCCUUUGGAACUGGAGUAGCUGCACAUGUGGGUUUUGUACAUACUUACACUGACUGGAGGAGAGUCUGUGAAGGAAGAGGAAAUGUAUCAUCUUGUUCUCAGCAGUUUGCAAGGCCCACUGAAAGACACUCCAUUUGGCAUGUAUUGAUAAGAAAGAGAUGACAACCAGGAUGUGUCACUAAAAACUACCUGCUGAAGAAAAGCAAAGUUCUAUUUCCUUCCUACUGCAGAGUUCAAGAACAUGACAGCCCUUGUGGACUGAACCUGCUUGUAAUUCCCUGAAAGCUGGAAAGUUACUGUCACAAAUGCUUCUCUCAAGUCAAAGUUGUUAACCCUAAAUAUGCUGCUAGGAACCUCAUCUGAGCAACAUGGAUUAUUGAGAAAAAGAAGAAUCAUGUCAGUUCAAGCUCCUUUAUCAGGAAUAAGAACCUCUUCAGCCACAAACAACAGCAGACAGUGCCCCUGCUGCCAAAGCUUUACUGAAAUUCAAGUCCCUGGGCUGACCUCCAGACUAGUUGUUUUGAAAUUAAAUCUGCAAUCUUGCUUUCUUUUUCUUUUGUUUCUUGGUAUGUGUUUUCUUUCCUAACUGCAACAGACUAUUAAGAGGUUCUAGAAUCAAAGAAGACUUAGCCUUUAAUGCCCCCUAUCCUGCUCCAGGCCACCCAAGGCUUGGCCACCAUUCCCAAAUGCCAGCAAGCCUUGUGUUCCUGGGAAGACAGCCAUGUCCUUCAGCUGAACAGGCAGUUUAUGCUUCAUUGUGACUCAUAAUUUAAUGACAGUAGGAGGGUUUCUGAUCUCAACUACAUGAACAGGGAUCCAGAUAAGGCUCUGCAGUGCUGAGGUAUUUUCCUUGAAUGUAUGCUGUGACUGACAGCAAAUGAUCUCAGUAUCUCCAUAUUACAUAAAAAAAACCAGCUACAGUCAUCAUUUUCCUGAAUUACCCUAGGAAGUACACCGAUCUGUCAUGUAAUUUCAUAACUUUCUACCCCCUUAGGAAAAGGAUCCUUCUCAAUCACCCUUAAAUAUAAUCUUUUUAGAGAAAAAUAAAUUUAAUUUGAGUAGCUUGCAGGAAGAUACAAUAAAGAUGGGUAGUAAAAAAGUUAAAGCAGGAGGGACUAAUUGAAGGUCUCUGUUGCAGUUCCCAGCAAUGUGACUUGCUUUAUACACCGGGCUAACACAAUACUUUUUUCCAGAACUUAAUCCAAGUUAACACAUGUAUGGACAGCCUGGAAGGAUCCUGUACAGCAAAUCAAGUCUUUUAAGCCAAAUACACCCUGAGGAGACUUUCUUCUGGAAAAAAAAAAAAAAUAAAAAAUUAGAGUGAUACUUAACAGAGGUAUCACAAGAGAAAUACUCCUGAGUAAAUGGAAAUCAAGUGCAACACAUCUCUGUAUUCUGUGCCUUGUAAUGAAUUUUGCACACUUGUGUUAUUGUGAAAAGUUUUCUUUUCCUGAGUAAGUGCUGAACCCUGUUGCUGCCUUCUCCUCUAAUAAGUUUAGAUAUGUUUACAUCUUCUGAGACAGAAACAGAAGAAAAUUUCAUGGAGUAUCCAGUGAUUUGAACAUUCGAAAUAGAGGGGUAGUAGGCACUAAAGAAUAAUAGCAAAUAUUUUUAGGUCAAUGUUGUAGCACAUUCUGAUUUACUUGCCUGCUUGCUUAAAUCAGGGCUUGUAAAAUGUCAGUGAUCACAUUCUUGCUUGGAAAAAGUGCUUUUUUCUAUGAACAUUUGGUGUAUCUACAAUGGGAAAUUUUCUGUAUCUCUGGAACUACGUAAGCAGCAUUAUCCUUUGCUUUCAAGGGGAUGCAUCUAAGUGUUCCUACCUCCUUUGGUAGUCUUUGCAAUCAGAUUAAUUCCUUGGGGAUUGGAAUGCACACACAGAUUUCUGUUCUGCUGGCACUUCUGCAGGAUAUAACUAGCUUCUGGAAUUCAGUGCCACAGCUACUCCUGAUCUUGCCUCAUUUUAAAGAUAAAAACCAUAACUUCUUUGGUUUGGUUCAUGUAGCUGGCAGCUGCCUGGAAUUAUAAUUUCAAUUGCAUAUAAAGGGUUUCUUGAACUCUUCAAAAGUGCCUGGGCUGUGGCACUUCUUGAGAUGGAGCUCUAGCUGAUGCAUUGCACUUGAAUUCCAUGGCUACCAUGGACAGUUGCCAUGUGGUAUUCUCAGUCUGGGCAGCACUGUAUUUGAAAGAUUAACAUAAAGAUGCAAAGGUGUGGAAUUUAGUGCAUGAAGAUCAAAGUCACGACACAAAUUGAAAAACUUGGAUUUUUGUAUGCAUAAUUUAGUCUUCAUUUUAUUACACUACUUACCAUAUGCUGUUUUGAGACUAUUCACUGCAUCUUCAGUCUGAAGAUUAGGCAGAAUUUUUUCUCAGUAAUCUUUUUGUGAAUGUAUAAAUUUUGUGCAUGCAAAACUUAUCAGUUGGAGUGUUUUCAUUUUCCUUUAAACUGUGUUUUUCCCACAAACCCUUACGUUUCAUUUUCUGGUAUGGCACACCAUAUGAGGCAAAAGAAUGAAGUGCAGAGCUGAACCCUAGAGGAUUUGUGUUUGACCUGGCCAAAAUCACUGCAAUGGUAAAAGCCUGUUAUUACAUAGGAGAUUAACCAGCUGCAAAGGAGAGAAAAGUGUACUUGUUUUAGUUGCUUAUUCUGCUAGGAAGUACAUGGAGUUUCCUUCCUCCACAUGACAAAGUGUGGCCUUCUCCUGAGUAUAUCCCAACACGUACUCUUCCUUCUGCAGCACAGCUAUUCAGCCACCACCUGGCCAUCUCAUGUCCUGGGCCAUUCCUCCUGUUCCACUCCAUGGUAGCUGAUAAGCAAAUACGAAUGUUUGGAAUGUGGCAUCACUUCAUAAAAGUACCAUUUUGCUCCUUCCCAUAUAGAGAAAAAGGCAGCUUCCUCUUAAAUCUUGUGAUCAAGGAUUCCAGCUUCAUCCAUAACUUGCUCAGGGCCACUAAAAGAAUCAUGUUUUGCUUGUUAAUGCUUUUUCUACCUGAUCAUAUUAUUAUGUAUGUUCCAAUAAUGCCAGUAUUCCAUAUUGUUCCGGGAUUGGGAAAGGUGAGGAGAGGGAGAGAGGAGGUUAUUGUUUGGAUUUUUUGUUUUGUUGUGGUUUUUUAAUCACUUUUCUAGUUCCUCAGCAAGGUUUUGUUUUUCUUACCUAUUUUUUUUUUUCCUGAUGCUUACCUUUAAGGAUGCUGUUGUGUUAAGCUUCACUUUAUAGAGUGCAUUUAUAGAGGAAUCAUUUGGUAGUGAACUUCUGUUUUGUGUGAACAUGGAAUUAGUGACAACUGUAAUAUGAAAUAAAUCUGAACAUAAUCUCCCUUAGGUUUUAUGAAAAUGGAGUCCCAGGGUCUUUUGAAGGGUGGGGGUUUUUUUUAUUAAUCCACAACAGCAAAACUGAUGAUUUCUAUCAGAUUUGAGAGAAGCUGGGGACUUACGAAACCUUCUAGUUUUCUCCAAGACCUCAGGCUCUAAGCAGCAAAACUUACAUCGGGCAAGUUAUUUGAUUCACCUGAUGAAUGGAUUCAUUAAGAGCAAGGGAGGGGAAGAGGAGGAAAACAGAUAAUGUGAAAUUCCACAGGUACCUACAGACAACAACUCAAGAUGUGCAGAAACUUAAUGGGUGAACAUUGAUCUCAGUGAUCACAAAUUCCUUGUCUGUGGAGAGGAUACAGAGAAUGAUACUCUUUGUAGUUGGGAAGCCACUUUCAUGAAGUCUCUAUUAACAGCAGACUAAAAGGAUCUUUUAGCACCUUUGGGUUAAAUAAAUUACAUAUUUUGGAGCCCUCUCACAAAAAGCUAUUCUUUCCUGUCACUUUUUACCUUCUCUGUGUGUUCUCAUUUUCUGGGUGGGAGCUCUCAGAGCCAGCCUUCAACCUUCCAGUGUUCAUUUUGCUUCCCCAAGGACAGUUCUGUUACAAAAAGUAGCUUUCUCACCUCUCUCUGUGCCUCCAGAAGGGCCACCUCUCACCUAUGCCCUCUUAAGAGAGACCAUCAAGGGCUGUCUGUACUUCUCUUCAGAAGAACAAAAGCAAGAGAGCAGGAGGUACCUGCAAGAGCAGCAAAACAGGAGUCACUGCUUGUAAAACAGGAAUAUGAUUGCUAUAGUAAAGCAUGCUCUAUGGGCUUUAGAAAGGGGAUAACACUGGGGCACCCAGUAUAGACGUGGUCAGUAUUCAGACAUUUUUCCUAUAUAUUGGAAGAAAUUUUUAAUAACUAUGGAGACUAUUCCAGUGGCAAAGAAAGCCAAAACAGCACUAAGAACUUGGUGAUGGUGUACAUUUAAAUAAAAAAUUAUCAAAGUUGAUUUUUUUAAUGUAUUUUAUGCUAAAUAGUUAGUGAUUUCCAAGGUUUAGCUAAAUAUGUUAGAGUUCUUAAAGUAGUUUCUGUUCCGUGUUUUAAUAAGUUUUCCCAUUUUAAAGACAGAUGUAAUUAAUAUAAUUAAAAGUUGUAAUAAUUUUUUCCUGGGAAAAAAAUUAAUUACUUUUCUGGUCUAAUACAUGCUUGUCUGUGUAUGUGCAUGUGCACGUAUAUAUACAUAUAUAUGUGUGUGGGUGUGGGUGUUUGGGGAUAUGGAUGUGGAAGCAUCAGCAUAUGCACGUGUACUAGUCUUUCCUAUAAGAUACAUUUUUUUUAAAUUUUGGUAAUAUUUAAGGGGAAUGCAUCUUUCUAAGAAACAAGUGGUUAAUUCCUUUUCGUCCUCCAUGCAUCAGCUUUGUUGGGUGUGUUAAUUUUUUUUUUUGAUGAUGUCACAUUUGUCUCAGACUUUUUUAGUUCUAUUUGCUAUUAAGAGAUUUUUUUCAACUGAAUGGGAAGAGAGACCGACAUUAACUGUUGUAGUCAUUAAAAGAAAAAGAAAGUUUACAUUACAAACCAAUCAUAAUGGAUGAAGCAAUGGAAUACAAAUAUAAAUAAAAUAAACAUAGCAAUGGAAAA
Molecule: RNA transcript, 12795 nt
Organism: Parus major (Great Tit)
Lineage: Eukaryota; Metazoa; Chordata; Aves; Passeriformes; Paridae
Gene: MOB3B
Gene name: MOB kinase activator 3B
Exons: 5
Source: RefSeq, a predicted model, not a curated record